UAACGAAAAGCAACCUCCCAUCUAUAGAACCACAAUCUAUUGUUUUAUUUUAAACUAUUUCGCU
Molecule: transfer RNA, 64 nt
Filed under: Potamilus alatus
Lineage: Eukaryota; Metazoa; Mollusca; Bivalvia; Unionida; Unionidae
Description: tRNA-His
Source: RNAcentral